CCUACGGGUGACUGCAGUGGGGAAUAUUGCACAAUGGGGGGAACCCUGAUGCAGCAACGCCGCGUGAGUGAAGAAGUAUUUCGGUAUGUAAAGCUCUAUCAGCAGGGAAGAAGAUGACGGUACCUGAGUAAGAAGCCCCGGCUAACUACGUGCCAGCAGCCGCGGUAAUACGUAAGGGGCAAGCGUUAUCCGGAUUUACUGGGUGUAAAGGGAGCGUAGACGGCGAGGCAAGUCUGGAGUGAAAGCCCGGGGCUCAACCCCGGGACUGCUUUGGAAACUGCCUGGCUGGAGUGCUGGAGAGGCAAGCGGAAUUCCUAGUGUAGCGGUGAAAUGCGUAGAUAUUAGGAAGAACACCAGUGGCGAAGGCGGCCUGCUGGACAUUAACUGACGCUGAGGCGCGAAAGCGUGGGGAGCAAACAGGAUUAGAUACCCCUGUAGUC
RNAcentral lists this ribosomal RNA (440 nucleotides) under uncultured bacterium. Its description in RNAcentral is "partial 16S ribosomal RNA". It matches the Rfam family "Bacterial small subunit ribosomal RNA", at positions 338 to 795 of the family's 1533-position model. The record is from RNAcentral.